CCACUGAGCCACGACGGGAACUCCAGGGUUGGUAAAUUCUUUAACCCUACAACGUCAUGACUGUUUCCAUCUUUCUUCCAGCUCCCUGCACAAUGCAAGAUGGCUCUUCUGUUACGAGCAGGUGUAGAUGCAGGAACAGCAUCCUUAGAAGAAAUAAACGUUUUCUUCCAAUGCACAUCUUUUGGGAAAGAAACCUCCCUGAAUAUUGACAUCCCCCCACCCCAGAAGGUGCAUCCCAUUAGCCAGAAUGCUUGAUGGAGAUAUCCCUCACGGGUCCUCCCUGAAUCUGCAUCAUCAGAUGUGUGACAGAGCCUGUGAUCUUGUUGCGGAGCUUCUUGCUGGAAAUAAUGGCAGUCUCCUUGCACACGCUCUUGGUGGUGUGGGAGUCGUUGCCCAGGCUCGUGGAGUACUUCUCAAUGAUGACCCGGGCCACCUUCUUCACGGUCUUGGCAAACAUGGCAGGUCCUUGGUAAAAGAGGAAAAAAGCACUUUCAAGCCAGAAGUAUCUGCCUGAAUAUAUACGUUGUGAUUAAAACUGUCAACAUCAUUCUGCGUGAUGAUGGCUCUACUGACUCCUGCCACCUACACAGUCUGAAGGAAGCAGUGUUGCUCACUUGGUGAAUGACAAUCAGGACAGACGGAGACACUCACUGGUAGAAAAUGAACAAGUCUUACUGGAUGAGUUUCAAUAUGGACACCUUGGGAUCUGUCUUUUUCAACCUGGGGAAUUCCAGGCAUAAAGAUGAGUAAAGCAUUUUCAUCUGAGAUAGUGCCCAAACUCAAUUUUCAUGGAAAACUACUCUUUUCAUUGAAUGCAUGCGCCCAUAGGACUUGGAUUUUAAGUCCCUUCAGAUUCUCAAGACUGAGGGCUAAACACACAUCACCUCCAUAUGUGUCUCUUUGGGCCCCCUCAUCUUCUAUUUCUUUUCAUCUCAUUUUUGUUGAAGCCUACUUUGCAGAAGGAAACCAUGGACUUAUCUUUCUUAAACACAUAAAAGCCAAU
Phacochoerus africanus (Common warthog) is the source of this 1003-nucleotide long non-coding RNA. RefSeq lists it as uncharacterized. The record is from RefSeq and is a predicted model, not a curated record. The transcript has 3 exons. NCBI's taxonomy places the organism in Eukaryota, Metazoa, Chordata, Mammalia, Artiodactyla, Suidae.